GGAUUUGAUACCCUUGGUGGUGCAGGCCGUAAAGGAUGUCUACUUGGGAGGUUGUGGCCUUGAGCCGGUGGCUUUCGGAGUUAACGCGUUAAGUAGACCGCCUGGGGGAGUACGGUCGCAGGAUUAAAACUCAAAUGAAUUGACGGGGGCCCGCACAAGCGGUGGAGCAUGUGGUUUAAUUCGAUGCAACGCGAAGAACCUUACCUACUCUUGACAUCCAGAGAAGCCAGCGGAGACGCAGGUGUGCCUUCGGGAGCUCUGAGACAGGUGCUGCAUGGCUGUCGUCAGCUCGUGUUGUGAAAUGUUGGGUUAAGUCCCGCAACGAGCGCAACCCUUAUCCUUGUUUGCCAGCGAGUAAUGUCGGGAACUCCAGGGAGACUGCCGGUGAUAAACCGGAGGAAGGUGGGGACGACGUCAAGUCAUCAUGGCCCUUACGAGUAGGGCUACACACGUGCUACAAUGGCGCAUACAGAGGGCAGCAAGCUAGCGAUAGUGAGCGAAUCCCAAAAAGUGCGUUUUUUUCGGGAUUGGAGUCUGCAACUCGACUCCAUGAAGUCGGAAUCGCUAGUAAUCGUGAAUCAGAAUGUCACGGUGAAUACGUUCCCGGGCCUUGUACACACCGCCCGUCACACCAUGGGAGUGGGCUGCAAAAGAAGUGGGUAGUUUAACCUUUCGGGGAGGACGCUCACCACUUUGUGUGCAUACUGAU
Molecule: ribosomal RNA, 709 nt
Filed under: Vibrio splendidus
Lineage: Bacteria; Pseudomonadati; Pseudomonadota; Gammaproteobacteria; Vibrionales; Vibrionaceae
Description: bacterial SSU rRNA
Rfam family: Bacterial small subunit ribosomal RNA
Source: RNAcentral